UUUGGCUACACAUACAAUAAAAAAAAAAAAAAUUGGAACAAUACAGAGAUUAGCAUGGCCCCUGUGCAAGGGUGACACACAAAUUCGUGAAGCAUUCCAUAUUUUA
Molecule: small nuclear RNA, 106 nt
Organism: Fukomys damarensis (Damara mole-rat)
Lineage: Eukaryota; Metazoa; Chordata; Mammalia; Rodentia; Bathyergidae
Source: Ensembl